UUACGGCCAUAUUGCGUUGAAAAACCGAUUCCCGUACGAUCACCGAAGUUAAGCAACGCCGAGCCUGGUCAGUUCUUAGAUGGGUGAUCGCUUCAGAAUACCAGAU
This is a non-coding RNA of Acanthosepion pharaonis, 106 nucleotides long. The record is from the annotation of a GenBank genome assembly. Lineage: Eukaryota; Metazoa; Mollusca; Cephalopoda; Sepiida; Sepiidae.